GGGGGCAACCCUGGCGGCGAGUGGCGAACGGGUGAGUAACAUAUCGGAACGUGCCAAGAAGUGGGGUAUAACUAGUCGAAAGAUUAGCUAAUACCGCAUACGCCCUAAGGGGGAAAGUGGGGGAUCGCAAGACCUCAUGCUUGUUGAGCGGCCGAUAUCUGAUUAGCUAGUUGGUAGGGUAAAAGCCUACCAAGGCGACGAUCAGUAGCUGGUCUGAGAGGACGACCAGCCACACUGGGACUGAGACACGGCCCAGACUCCUACGGGAGGCAGCAGUGGGGAAUUUUGGACAAUGGGGGCAACCCUGAUCCAGCAAUGCCGCGUGAGUGAAGAAGGCCUUCGGGUUGUAAAGCUCUUUUGUCCGGGAAGAAAUCCCAUCUACUAAUACUGGGUGGGGAUGACGGUACUGGAAGAAUAAGCACC
RNAcentral lists this ribosomal RNA (423 nucleotides) under unidentified bacterium TMB828. RNAcentral describes it as "bacterial SSU rRNA". It matches the Rfam family "Bacterial small subunit ribosomal RNA", at positions 75 to 494 of the family's 1533-position model. The record is from RNAcentral.